RNAcentral lists this ribosomal RNA (266 nucleotides) under uncultured bacterium. RNAcentral's name for it is "partial 16S ribosomal RNA". It matches the Rfam family "Bacterial small subunit ribosomal RNA", at positions 355 to 615 of the family's 1533-position model. The record is from RNAcentral.
UGGGGAAUAUUGCACAAUGGGCGCAAGCCUGAUGCAGCCAUGCCGCGUGUGUGAAGAAGGCCUUCGGGUUGUAAAGCACUUUCAGCGAGGAGGAAGGGUAGUGUGUUAAUAGCACAUUGCAUUGACGUUACUCGCAGAAGAAGCACCGGCUAACUCCGUGCCAGCAGCCGCGGUAAUACGGAGGGUGCAAGCGUUAAUCGGAAUUACUGGGCGUAAAGCGCACGCAGGCGGUUUGUUAAGUCAGAUGUGAAAUCCCGCGCUAACGU